AAUACCUAAAUCUUUAGUUUUCAUUAUGAGAACAGAUUUGGUCAAAAUGACGAUAUACUUGUACACUACAAUGUUUUGGUCAUCACGAAAGCAGAGCUUUUUGCCCUCCAGUGUAGUGCGCAUGCGCGGGAUUACCGGACGUAAAUAAUAACAUUCAACGUGCCUAUAUGUGUUCCC
Long non-coding RNA from Melanotaenia boesemani (Boeseman's rainbowfish), 177 nucleotides. RefSeq lists it as uncharacterized. The transcript has 3 exons. Lineage: Eukaryota; Metazoa; Chordata; Actinopteri; Atheriniformes; Melanotaeniidae. The record is from RefSeq and is a predicted model, not a curated record.